AGUAACCUGAAAUGCACGAUAACUCCUGUUCAGUUUUGAACCUACAUUUCUUUAAACGGGACUCCUAUAUCGCCAAGUGGCUGUCAGGCCCUCACUUGCCGGCGCAGACCGGUAAGGAUCGGAAGGGAAGGCAAAAGCUGUGGCUGCGGUAACCCACCUAGCAUUGCUAGGAGUCAAAAGACAGGAGGCGGCAUUUUGGGGAUAUA
Molecule: non-coding RNA, 206 nt
Filed under: Acetatifactor sp.
Lineage: Bacteria; Bacillati; Bacillota; Clostridia; Lachnospirales; Lachnospiraceae
Description: 6S RNA
Rfam family: 6S / SsrS RNA
About the family: E. coli 6S RNA was the first non coding RNA to be sequenced, but its function was unknown until recently. It consists of 184 nucleotides that fold into an extended hairpin structure with a large single-stranded internal bulge.
Source: RNAcentral